This 620-nucleotide ribosomal RNA is filed under the name uncultured bacterium. RNAcentral's name for it is "bacterial SSU rRNA". The stretch from base 1 to 530 matches the Rfam family "Bacterial small subunit ribosomal RNA", at positions 338 to 873 of the family's 1533-position model. The record is from RNAcentral.
CCUACGGGAGGCAGCAGUGGGGAAUAUUGCGCAAUGGCCGAAAGGCUGACGCAGCGACGCCGCGUGGGGGAUGAAGCAUUUCGGUGUGUAAACCCCUGUUGCUCGGGACGAACAACUGGAUUCUUCCAGUCUGACGGUACCGGGUGAGGAAGCACCGGCUAACUCCGUGCCAGCAGCCGCGGUAAUACGGAGGGUGCGAGCGUUGUCCGGAAUCACUGGGCGUAAAGGGCGCGUAGGCGGUCUGCUAAGCGUGUGGUGAAAGCUCGGGGCUCAACCCCGAGUCUGCCAUGCGAACUGGUGGACUUGAGCACUGUAGAGGCAGGUGGAAUUCCGGGUGUAGCGGUGGAAUGCGUAGAGAUCCGGAAGAACACCGGUGGCGAAGGCGGCCUGCUGGGCAGUUGCUGACGCUGAGGCGCGACAGCGUGGGGAGCAAACAGGAUUAGAUACCCUGGUAGUCCACGCCGUAAACGAUGGGAACUAGGUGCUUGGGGGAGGCGACCCGACGUGUCGCGCACGCAUACGUUCCCGCCGUCGGGAGGUACGACCGCGAGGUAAGGUAACGUACGAAGAGUAAGUUAGACGGCGNGAGACGNGCCGACGGACGACGACGAGGGAGGAGG